UACGUAGGGACCAAGCGUUGUUCGGAUUUACUGGGCGUAAAGGGCGCGUAGGCGGCUUGACAAGUCACUUGUGAAAUCUCCGGGCUUAACUCGGAAUGGCCAAGUGAAACUGUCAUGCUAGAGUGCAGGAGGGGCAAUCGGAAUUCUUGGUGUAGCGGUGAAAUGCGUAGAUAUCGAGAGGAACACCUGCGGCGAAGGCGGGUUGCUGGGCCGACACUGACGCUGAUGCGCGAAAGCCAGGGGAGCAAACAGG
RNAcentral lists this ribosomal RNA (253 nucleotides) under uncultured prokaryote. Its description in RNAcentral is "partial 16S ribosomal RNA". It matches the Rfam family "Bacterial small subunit ribosomal RNA", at positions 524 to 776 of the family's 1533-position model. The record is from RNAcentral.